GGAGAGAGUCCGGUUGGUCGAGGAAGCUGUCUUGAAAACAGUGGACUGUAAAAAGGUUCAGGGGUUCGAUUCCCUUUCUCUCCGCGA
This 87-nucleotide transfer RNA is filed under the name Agriterribacter soli. Its description in RNAcentral is "Terrimonas sp. NS-102 tRNA-Ser". It matches the Rfam family "tRNA". From Rfam's summary of the family: Transfer RNA (tRNA) molecules are approximately 80 nucleotides in length. Lineage: Bacteria; Pseudomonadati; Bacteroidota; Chitinophagia; Chitinophagales; Chitinophagaceae. The record is from RNAcentral.